RNAcentral lists this ribosomal RNA (331 nucleotides) under uncultured bacterium. RNAcentral describes it as "bacterial SSU rRNA". It matches the Rfam family "Bacterial small subunit ribosomal RNA", at positions 568 to 898 of the family's 1533-position model. The record is from RNAcentral.
CGCGUAGGCGGUUUGGACAGUCAGGCGUGAAAUUCCUGGGCUUAACCCGGGGGCUGCGCUUGAUACAUCCAGGCUUGAGUGGGGAAGAGGGUCGUGGAAUUCCCAGUGUAGAGGUGAAAUUCGUAGAUAUUGGGAAGAACACCGGUGGCGAAGGCGGCGACCUGGUCCUUUACUGACGCUGAGGCGCGAAAGCGUGGGGAGCAAACAGGAUUAGAUACCCUGGUAGUCCACGCUGUAAACGAUGUGUGCUGGAUGUUGGGUGACCUAGUCACUCAGUGUCGUAGCUAACGCGGUAAGCACACCGCCUGGGGAGUACGGCCGCAAGGUUGAA